This 49-nucleotide non-coding RNA is filed under the name Thermoproteus tenax. The record is from RNAcentral. Lineage: Archaea; Thermoproteati; Thermoproteota; Thermoprotei; Thermoproteales; Thermoproteaceae.
GCGGACGGCGGGCGAAAGAGCCGGCGGCGUGGGGUACUCGUAAUACUCC